Molecule: ribosomal RNA, 433 nt
Filed under: uncultured bacterium
Lineage: Bacteria
Description: partial 16S ribosomal RNA
Rfam family: Bacterial small subunit ribosomal RNA
Source: RNAcentral
AACGAACGCUGGCGGCAUGCCUAACACAUGCAAGUCGAACGGGAGCUUCGGGUCUAGUGGCGCAUGGGUGCGUGACGGGUGGGGACCUGCCUUUAGGUUCGGCAUAACUCCCCGGAAGGGGUGCUAAUACCGGCUAAUGUCUUCGGACCAAAGAUUGGUCGCCUUUGGAUGGGCCGGCGUUGGCUUAGCUAGUUGGUAGGCUAAACGCCUAUCACGGCGGCGAUACAUAGCUGGUCUGUGAGGAUGAUCAGCCACACUGGGACUAAGACACGGCCCGGACUCCUACGCAAGGCAGCAGUGGGUAAUACUGGACAGUCGCCUGUAUGCAGAUGCACCUCUGACUCGAGAGUGAUGAAGGUCUUAGGGAUGUAAAGCACUUUUACCCGUGAUUAUAAUGACAGUACCGGGAGAAUAAGCUCCGGCUAACUUCGUG